Molecule: ribosomal RNA, 629 nt
Filed under: uncultured bacterium
Lineage: Bacteria
Description: bacterial SSU rRNA
Rfam family: Bacterial small subunit ribosomal RNA
Source: RNAcentral
GGAUGGACCCGCGGUGCAUUAGCUAGUUGGUGAGGUAACGGCUCACCAAGGCCACGAUGCAUAGCCGACCUGAGAGGGUGAUCGGCCACACUGGGACUGAGACACGGCCCAGACUCCUACGGGAGGCAGCAGUAGGGAGUCUUCGGCAAUGGACGAAAGUCUGACCGAGCAACGCCGCGUGAGUGAAGAAGGUUUUCGGAUCGUAAAACUCUGUUGUUAGAGAAGAACAAGGAUGAGAGUAAAACGUUCAUCCCUUGACGGUAUCUAACCAGAAAGCCACGGCUAACUACGUGCCAGCAGCCGCGGUAAUACGUAGGUGGCAAGCGUUGCCCGGAUUUAUUGGGCGUAAAGCGAGCGCAGGCGGUUUCUUAAGUCUGAUGUGAAAGCCCCCGGCUCAACCGGGGAGGGUCAUUGGAAACUGGGAGACUUGAGUGCAGAAGAGGAGAGUGGAAUUCCAUGUGUAGCGGUGAAAUGCGUAGAUAUAUGGAGGAACACCAGUGGCGAAGGCGGCUCUCUGGUCUGUAACUGACGCUGAGGCUCGAAAGCGUGGGGAGCGAACAGGAUUAGAUACCCUGGUAGUCCACGCCGUAAACGAUGAGUGCUAAGUGUUGGAGGGUUUCCGCCCUUCA